RNAcentral lists this transfer RNA (129 nucleotides) under Neocucurbitaria cava. RNAcentral describes it as "tRNA-Arg". Lineage: Eukaryota; Fungi; Ascomycota; Dothideomycetes; Pleosporales; Cucurbitariaceae. The record is from RNAcentral.
GUCUAGGUGGCCUAGCGGUACAAUAACACAGAUUUGGGAGGGCGCCCGGCCGCGGUGCCGACCGCAAUACCAAAUACAGGUAGUGGGUUGCCACGCCGGGGGUCACCGGUUCGAGUCCGGUGGCGGGCA